Molecule: non-coding RNA, 971 nt
Filed under: Thyroptera lavali (LaVal's disk-winged bat)
Lineage: Eukaryota; Metazoa; Chordata; Mammalia; Chiroptera; Thyropteridae
Description: 12S ribosomal RNA
Rfam family: Bacterial small subunit ribosomal RNA
Source: RNAcentral
CACAGGUUUGGUCCUAGCCCUUUCAUUUGUUAAUAGUAAACUUACACAUGCAAGUAUCAGCAAACCAGUGAAAAUGCCCUCUGACUUACAAAAACUGUAAUAGAGGGGCGGGCAUCAAGUACACUAUUCAAUGUAGCUAAUAACGCCUUGCUUAGCCACACCCCCACGGGAUACAGCAGUGAUAAAUAUUAAGCUAUAAACAAAAGUUUGACUAAGUUAUACUAUAAUCUAGGGCCGGUAAAUUUCGUGCCAGCCACCGCGGUCAUACGAUUGGCCCAAAUAAAUGAACAUACGGCGUAAAGCGUGUUUAAGAUCUAGAUUUAAUAAAGUCAAAUUGUAACUAAUCUGUAAAAAGUCUUUAGUUACUGUAAGCCCUGAAACGAAAGUAACUUUAAUCAUCUGACUACACGACAACUAAGAUCCAAACUGGGAUUAGAUACCCCACUAUGCUUAGUUUUAAACUAAAAAAGUUAUAACAACAAAACCAUUCGCCAGAGAACUACUAGCUAAAGCUAAAAACUCAAAGGACUUGGCGGUGCUUUAUAUCCCCCUAGAGGAGCCUGUUCUAUAAUUGAUAAACCCCAAUAGACCUCACCAACCCUUGCUAAUUCAGCCUAUAUACCGCCAUCUUCAGCAAACCCUAAAAAGGUCUUACAGUAAGCAUAAUCAUGUUACAUAAAAACGUUAGGUCAAGGUGUAGCUAAUGAGUUGGGAAGAAAUGGGCUACAUUACCUAAUUUAAGGUCAUCCUAGACACGAAAGUUUUUAUGAAACAAAAAACUAAAGGUGGAUUUAGUAGUAAAUUAAGAAUAGAGCGCUUAAUUGAAUAGGGCCAUAAAGCACGCACACACCGCCCGUCACCCUCCUCAAAUAAAAAGAAUAACCUAACAUCUUCCUAUGACAAUAUUUUAACCUACUAGAGGAGACAAGUCGUAACAAGGUAAGCGUACUGGAAAGUGCGCUUGGAAAACU